RNAcentral lists this small nuclear RNA (280 nucleotides) under Chinchilla lanigera (long-tailed chinchilla). RNAcentral's name for it is "7SK RNA (ENSCLAG00000021891.1)". It matches the Rfam family "7SK RNA". From Rfam's summary of the family: 7SK was discovered as an abundant small nuclear RNA in the mid-70s but a possible function has only recently been suggested. Two independent studies have found that 7SK RNA binds the CDK9/cyclin T complex (known as elongation factor P-TEFb). Lineage: Eukaryota; Metazoa; Chordata; Mammalia; Rodentia; Chinchillidae. The record is from RNAcentral.
GGAGGUGAGGGAGAUCUGGCUGCAACAUCUGUCACACCACUGACCGCCAGGGCUAACUUGGCUGCUCUGGCUGGCUAGGUGAGUGUCCCCUUCCUUCCUCAAUGCUCUGAGUGCGUCCCUUCGCAAGCUGUGUGCUCAGUCGAAGAGGACAACCAUCCCCAAUAGAGGAAGAGCAGUCCUCGGUCAAGGGUAUAUGAGUAGCUGCGUUCCCCUGCUAGAACGUCCAAACAAACUCUCAAAGAGGUGAAGGAGAGGGACAAUUAAAAUGGGUUCUACCUUU